GCCCAGACUCCUACGGGAGGCAGCAGUGGGGAAUAUUGCACAAUGGGGGGAACCCUGAUGCAGCGACGCCGUGUGGGCGAGGAAGUAUUUCGGUAUGUAAAGCCCUAUCGGCAGGGAAGAAGAAAUGACGGUACCUGAAUAAGAAGCACCGGCUAAAUACGUGCCAGCAGCCGCGGUAAUACGUAUGGUGCAAGCGUUAUCCGGAUUUACUGGGUGUAAAGGGAGCGCAGGCGGCACGGCAAGCCUGAUGUGAAAGCCCGCGGCCCAACCGCGGGACUGCAUUGGGAACUACCGGGCUGGAGUGCCGGAGAGGUAGGCGGAAUUCCUGGUGUAGCGGUGAAAUGCGUAGAUAUCAGGAGGAACACCGGCGGCGAAGGCGGCCUGCUGGACCGCGACUGACGUUGAGGCUCGAAAGCGUGGGGAGCGAACAGGAUUAGAUACCCGGGUA
Molecule: ribosomal RNA, 448 nt
Filed under: uncultured bacterium
Lineage: Bacteria
Description: partial 16S ribosomal RNA
Rfam family: Bacterial small subunit ribosomal RNA
Source: RNAcentral